UGCUUUUGAUUAUUUUAGCGGCGGACGGGUGAGUAACGUGUGGGUAACCUGCCUUUUACUGGGGAAUAAUCGUUGGAAACGACGACUAAUACCGCAUACGGUUCUUGGAAGGCAUCUUCUAAGAAAGAAAGGAUUUAUUCGGUAAAAGAUGGGCCCGCAUCUGAUUAGCUAGUUGGUGAGAUAAUAGCCCACCAAGGCAACGAUCAGUAGCCGACCUGAGAGGGUGACCGGCCACAUUGGGACUGAGACACGGCCCAAACUCCUACGGGAGGCAGCAGUGGGGAAUAUUGCACAAUGGGCGAAAGCCUGAUGCAGCAACGCCGCGUGAAGGAAGACGGUUUUCGGAUUGUAAACUUCUAUCAAUAGGGAAGAAAGAAAUGACGGUACCUAAAUAAGAAGCCCCGGCUAACUACGUGCCAGCAGCCGCGGUAAUACGUAGGGGGCAAGCGUUAUCCGGAAUUACUGGGUGUAAAGGGAGAGUAGGCGGCAAGGUAAGCGAUAUGUGAAAGCCUUAGGCUUAACUUAAGGAUUGCAUAACGAACUAUCUAGCUAGAGUACAGGAGAGGAAAGCGGAAUUCCUAGUGUAGCGGUGAAAUGCGUAGAUAUUAGGAAGAACACCAGUGGCGAAGGCGGCUUUCUGGACUGAAACUGACGCUGAGGCUCGAAAGCGUGGGGAGCGAACAGGAUUAGAUACCCUGGUAGUCCACGCUGUAAACGAUGAGUGCUAGGUGUCGGGGAGGAAUUCCCGGUGCC
Molecule: ribosomal RNA, 753 nt
Filed under: uncultured bacterium
Lineage: Bacteria
Description: bacterial SSU rRNA
Rfam family: Bacterial small subunit ribosomal RNA
Source: RNAcentral